Molecule: transfer RNA, 76 nt
Filed under: Sediminivirga luteola
Lineage: Bacteria; Bacillati; Actinomycetota; Actinomycetes; Micrococcales; Brevibacteriaceae
Description: tRNA-Val
Rfam family: tRNA
About the family: Transfer RNA (tRNA) molecules are approximately 80 nucleotides in length. Their secondary structure includes four short double-helical elements and three loops (D, anti-codon, and T loops).
Source: RNAcentral
GCGCCUAUAGCUCAGUUGGCUAGAGCAUCUCGCUUACACCGAGAGGGUCGGGGGUUCGAGUCCCUCUGGGCGCACC